GAGCCCGUUGGUCAAGUGGUUAAGACACCGCCCUUUCACGGCGGUAACACGGGUUCGAAUCCCGUACGGGUCA
Molecule: transfer RNA, 73 nt
Filed under: Lysinibacillus fusiformis
Lineage: Bacteria; Bacillati; Bacillota; Bacilli; Caryophanales; Bacillaceae
Also listed under: 1 other name
Description: tRNA-Glu
Rfam family: tRNA
About the family: Transfer RNA (tRNA) molecules are approximately 80 nucleotides in length. Their secondary structure includes four short double-helical elements and three loops (D, anti-codon, and T loops).
Source: RNAcentral